GUGCCAGCAGCCGCGGUAAGACAGAGGUGGCGAGCGUUGUUCGGAUUUAUUGGGCGUAAAGCGAACGCAGGUGGUUUGGUAAGUCAGGGGUGAAAGCCCACAGCUUAACUGUGGCACUGCCUUUGAUACUGCCUUUCUUGAGUGCAUGAGGGGGAAGCGGAAUUCCGAGUGUAGAGGUGAAAUUCGUAGAUAUUCGGAGGAACACCGGUGGCGAAGGCGGCUUCCUGGCAUGUAACUGACACUCAUGUUCGAAAGCGUGGGUAGCAAACAGGAUUAGAAACCCUCGUAGUCC
Molecule: ribosomal RNA, 292 nt
Filed under: uncultured bacterium
Lineage: Bacteria
Description: partial 16S ribosomal RNA
Rfam family: Bacterial small subunit ribosomal RNA
Source: RNAcentral